Non-coding RNA from Podarcis lilfordi (Lilford's wall lizard), 72 nucleotides. NCBI's taxonomy places the organism in Eukaryota, Metazoa, Chordata, Lepidosauria, Squamata, Lacertidae. The record is from the annotation of a GenBank genome assembly.
GGGGUCGCGGCUCAGUGGUAGAGUAUCUGCUUUGCAUACACAAGGCCCCAGCUUCAGUCCCUGGCAUCUCCA